GGUUUAGUGGUCAGAACAUUGGUGCGUAAAGCCAAAGGUUCCGGGUUCGAUUCCCGG
This 57-nucleotide transfer RNA is filed under the name Agrilus planipennis (emerald ash borer). It matches the Rfam family "tRNA", at positions 9 to 63 of the family's 71-position model. Rfam says of the family: Transfer RNA (tRNA) molecules are approximately 80 nucleotides in length. Their secondary structure includes four short double-helical elements and three loops (D, anti-codon, and T loops). Further hydrogen bonds mediate the characteristic L-shaped molecular structure. tRNAs have two regions of fundamental functional importance: the anti-codon, which is responsible for specific mRNA codon recognition, and the 3' end, to which the tRNAs corresponding amino acid is attached (by aminoacyl-tRNA synthetases). tRNAs cope with the degeneracy of the genetic code in two manners: having more than one tRNA (with a specific anti-codon) for a particular amino acid; and 'wobble' base-pairing, i.e. permitting non-standard base-pairing at the 3rd anti-codon position. The record is from Rfam by way of RNAcentral. Lineage: Eukaryota; Metazoa; Arthropoda; Insecta; Coleoptera; Buprestidae.